CUCACUGCAAGCUCUGCCUCCCGGGUUCACGCCAUUCAGGGGAGUGGCGCCGAGACACCGUGUAGCGCCCAUGCCAAGGAGGAAGCGAGACAGCAGGAGCGGAGGAAAGAACCCCGGGCUGUGUUGAGGAAGCCUCCUACUUUUGCCUGAAGUGAGGUCUCCUAUAGAGAGAAGCGUUGACUGGGGACACUCGCUGCUUGCGUUUUGCUGGUAGCUGGGCUGGAAGGUCCACAAAGGUUCACUUCAUCCUCAGCCUCGGAAGUCACACAGCGUCGCUUCUGCUGCAUCCUGUUGAUGAAAGCCAGUCCUGGAGUCAGCCCAGAUCCAAGGGG
Molecule: long non-coding RNA, 332 nt
Filed under: Homo sapiens (human)
Lineage: Eukaryota; Metazoa; Chordata; Mammalia; Primates; Hominidae
Description: HSALNT0355086
Source: RNAcentral